RNAcentral lists this ribosomal RNA (404 nucleotides) under Bacillus sp. EB97. RNAcentral's name for it is "bacterial SSU rRNA". It matches the Rfam family "Bacterial small subunit ribosomal RNA", at positions 829 to 1234 of the family's 1533-position model. The record is from RNAcentral. Lineage: Bacteria; Bacillati; Bacillota; Bacilli; Caryophanales; Bacillaceae.
GUUUCCGCCCUUUAGUGCUGAAGUUAACGCAUUAAGCACUCCGCCUGGGGAGUACGGCCGCAAGGCUGAAACUCAAAGGAAUUGACGGGGGCCCGCACAAGCGGUGGAGCAUGUGGUUUAAUUCGAAGCAACGCGAAGAACCUUACCAGGUCUUGACAUCCUCUGACAACCCUAGAGAUAGGGCUUCUCCUUCGGGAGCAGAGUGACAGGUGGUGCAUGGUUGUCGUCAGCUCGUGUCGUGAGAUGUUGGGUUAAGUCCCGCAACGAGCGCAACCCUUGAUCUUAGUUGCCAUCAUUAAGUUGGGCACUCUAAGGUGACUGCCGGUGACAAACCGGAGGAAGGUGGGGAUGACGUCAAAUCAUCAUGCCCCUUAUGACCUGGGCUACACACGUGCUACAAUGGA